This is a non-coding RNA of Gasterosteus aculeatus aculeatus (three-spined stickleback), 265 nucleotides long. The record is from RefSeq and is a predicted model, not a curated record. NCBI's taxonomy places the organism in Eukaryota, Metazoa, Chordata, Actinopteri, Perciformes, Gasterosteidae.
CGCCCACCACCACACGGCUACUUAAAGCAGCGUCUCGUUAAAGCCUCAGGCUGUAACACGUCGUGUCCUCGCUGCGCACCUCGAGCUGUGAAGAGUCCAGACAGAAGAAGAAGAACCGCGUUCUGAGGACAUGCGAGGAGCGAGAAGAGUCUGUGCUGGGGAGUUCUCUCCUUGAUGAUCGUGUGGCCUGCAAAGAAAUACUUCUCUAAGGAGGAGAUGAUCUGCAGCAUCCUGGUGAUCUUCAUCCUGACCUCCUGUGUCUGUG